Long non-coding RNA from Helianthus annuus (common sunflower), 2443 nucleotides. RefSeq lists it as uncharacterized. The record is from RefSeq and is a predicted model, not a curated record. The transcript has 8 exons. Lineage: Eukaryota; Viridiplantae; Streptophyta; Magnoliopsida; Asterales; Asteraceae.
CUAAAAUGACAUUUAACUCUAAAAAUUAAUAAACGUUAAGAAACGCAUUAGUACAAAGAUAAUCUAUACUAUUAUAAAAAGGAGAAGUGAUGGACAAGAUAGUAAUUUUAUUUGCGUAUAAAUUUUGAAGCACUAUGUACAAUAAAAAGAAGCCAUUUUAAAGGGGCUAAAGUUGCAACUUUUUCAAAAUUUUAAGACACCAUAAGGGUGUUUUAAGGAUUUGAUCAUGGAUUAACAGUACAUUAACUUCUGAGACAAUUGAAUCGUUUCUCAUUGAAUAUAUAUAACCCUAAUACCCAAAUCACAGUUUCCUCUCAUCUCUUCACCUUCAUCACGACUGAAUCCUCCAUAACCCUAAUAUCCCUGUAAAGACUGCACACCAAUUCAUCACACCUCCGUCCACUGCCGUACACCUCCGUCCACCGCCAUGAGUUUUAUCAAUUGGAUUCAGUUCUGGUGAUCUACGCAGCCACCAUCACACUUUGCCGUAAACCUUUGUUCGAUAGAGCUUUCGGUCGUACCGUAACUACCAUUGCGCCAUCAGGUGUGCUCUGUGCUGAUAAACAUAAUGCCAUAGGAAAUUAGUUUGAAUUCUGUGAUAUUCAACACACCUAGCAAGAAUUUCAACGACUUAAAGCUCUAAAUUCAUUCACUAAGAAUAUGACACUGAAGAGUUCACUGAUGAUCGUGAAUUAGCUCAACAGAAAGCUAAAGCAGCAGGUGCAUUUUUAUUAUAUAUACAUAUAGAUUUUUCCACUUUCCAAUUAUUAUAUAAAUGAAAAAUUUUGUAUUGAUUUCCCUCCCUUGUUUUGUAACCUUUGUUGUGACGAUUAAUGCCUAUUACUGUGGUUUAAUUUUGAAAAAUAAUAGUUAUAACAAAGAUACAUUAGAUUUGGUUUGUGAGUGUGAGGAUCUGUUAUUAAAGGAGUUUGGAUUGUUGAAGAAGAACCCUUGAUAUAACAUCCAGUGGGCGGUGGUCAAGCCUAUCCGUGAGCCACAUGUAGCUGUCCAGAAAGUUGUUUAGGGUAAUCCUAAUCCUAGGGGAUAAUUUACAAAGUAUUAUGUUCAGCCAUAUAUUGAGCAGUCUGGUGUUGGUGGUUCUAUGGCUGGAAAUGGAGCUUUUGAUGCAAUUGUGAGUGAUGGAACCCACACUUUUUUAUGUUUAAGACGCGUUGUUUGUCAUAAAAAGGAAAGGUGACGUAUAAAAAUGUAAUUUUACAUCAUGUACAACAUUAGAAGCAGCAUAUACAACAUUGUGUAAGCAGAGAAAAUUAGAAAGUGUUUGUGGUUUUUUAAGACGCUGGAAGGGCACAAUUGACAAUUCAACCUCCUUGACUUUAAUUGCCAUAGUAAUUGAAUGCCAAUUGAAUGCGGUCUUCAUCACCACCGGUUCGUUUUCUCAUCAACAAUCAAUGAAAUCAUCAUGUUUACUGGUGAAUUGAUCAAUUGAAACUGAUUUUAAACUUGAAUUGAAGCAGCCCCUUCGUUUCCAGACCCACCCCCUUAUUACUCGGCAAUUGAACGCCUUUGUUGGUUCGUUUUGGGUGAAUAAUGUUGUUUUCGCGAGCGGUGGCUUGGUUUCCGGUGGCUACAAAUGAAAUUGGUAGUGAUGGUCAGACAUUAGCAUAGAUUCAGGCCAAUUCCGGUCACGCCAAUAAGUCCAGCGGAAUCCAUUCCGGUGACCUCGAAUUUAAGAACCCUAAAAUCCAAAAUCAUCCCUGACGCGAUUAAGAUUAUGCCUCUAGGAUAUGUGUGCCCUUUUGUGAUUUAUAUGAACCUGUGUUAAUCUGAGAAGUUUAGUGGACUAGAACAGGCACAAUUUCAUCCCACCUACAUCGCGCAUGACUAACAGUUGGUUAAUGAUGCAAUCGAUUUGUAUAUAAACAGUUUUAGAUACGAAGAACACUUCAUUCUCUGCAAACCAAGAUAGUGCUAUCAGUGAGGAAUGCAGAGUUGCUUGGGAUAUAUGUUAAUAAGAGAGUUGAUGUGUUCAUGGGCUGCUUAGUAGUGGGCUGGGCUUGCAUAGAAGACAUCAUAAAUAGAUAAUGCUAAUGGGCUGGAGCUAAUGCGGGCUGAUGAUGGGCUUGCUGAUGGGUCAUGCCUGUUCGUGUGUUAAAGACUGGAGGCCUUUGAAGGCCGUGUAUAAAACGCUACGAGACAACAGACCUGAAGUGUGAGUUUUCAUUCAGUCAUCGAGAGAGUUCCAGAGUCUUCAUUCACACAAUAUAGAUUCUCUCUAGUUGAUUCACAUGUCUCGUUCGCGAUACUAUUAGGGUUUCUUGUUAGAUCAUUAUAGGGAUCGUUGUGUCGAUGGUACUCUAUAUUUUUGUAAUUGUUUCUGUUUCAGAGAUUCUUCCAGUAGUUGUGUUUUUGGGUUUCUCGUAAUACAUGUUCGCUCAGCUGUUCAUUCUCAUAUUUCACUAAAAUCUAGGGUUUCUUGUAA